RNAcentral lists this long non-coding RNA (2577 nucleotides) under Zea mays. RNAcentral's name for it is "long non-coding RNA (ZMAY_LNC001057)". The record is from RNAcentral. Lineage: Eukaryota; Viridiplantae; Streptophyta; Magnoliopsida; Poales; Poaceae.
GGCGACCUUCCCACACCUUGUGCCGGGUCCGCGGGAGAUAAAUUGGUGCCCUCUGCACCCCCUCUCCACUUCUUCGUCUGCCUCGCGACUCCUCUCUCGCCUCAGUCGCCUGCACACCGCGCUCGUCGAGGGAAACACGGGUCCGCCACUGUCGAUCACGUGAACCGUGGGCACUGGGCAAUCCGUGGAGCGUUCCAGUGUUGCGCCGUGACCCCUUGAUGCUUCGGCAACCACUAAUUUCUUCAUUGGUGUCGCGGCUCUAGCGCAUUUGCUCGUCGAACGGGGCACUCGCCGUCGCGCCGUGCAACACCGUGGACUGGCCACCUUGCUGCGAAUUCCGGGUAUGUGCUUGGUCCCCUGUGUUCGCUUAGGUUCUAAUUAGGGCUGGGAUCGUCCGAUUUUGGUUUGGGCCGAGGGGCUCGUCGGCAAUUUGCGCGCCGUCGUGGCAUUCUGUCGAGGCACUCGGCUUGCCGAGUUGGGUGGGAGAAAGAAGACGUGCCAGGACCGUAGAUCUCAUAAUAAACGACCCUGGUGUGAUGAUGGGGGAGAGGUGUUUAGAACUGUUGGAUCUGUGAAUAGCGGCUAGGAUUAGAUUUGGUGGCUUCCGUUUGGCUUAAUCAAUCACAGCCAUCGAUCAUUGAUCGUGCGGCCGGUGUGGGAGAGAAUAGAUAGUGUGCUGCAGAUCGUAAGAUUCGGAUCCGACGUGUGAGGAUGAACUCAGGUUCAUGAGUGUCUCGGUCUAAUCUGGACCGACUAUUUUAGAUCCGGCAGCUCUUGUACCCCGAUACCCCAUCGCCGCGUGCUUUUGCUAAAGAAGCCCUGGCGAAUUUCAAUAUAAACCCGCCGUCAACCCUGACUGUGCUUAGAGUCCUGUAAUAUUUUGCGCAGAGCCCCUUACGCUUCAUAAUUAUUGAGGCCUAGUCCAGAGCUUAAGAAAAUCAAAUAAAUAAAUUUAGAAAUGGAUUUUUAAUAUAAAAACAAUUCCUAGAACUUAUUUAAUUCAUGAAAAAUCCAUUUUUAGUCCAAAUUGAUCCAUUCUAAUUUCUAAAAUUUGGUAAAAUUAUUGUUUAUCACCUAGUGCCUCUGUUUUGGCAUGAAAGACACAUUACAAUUUAUCUAGUACUUAAUAUUGUAUUAAAUACAUAAAACCUUUGGAGAUUCAUAACUUAAAAUCUAUAACUCCAAAUUUAAUGAUUCCAGUUCCUAUGAUCUUAUUUUAAUGUCUAGAUUAUUAUUAUGUAUUUUAUUUACAUGUUUGGUGUGAUGUUAAUUUUUGCUAUACUAUGUAUUGUGUUGAUGCGUGUAGACGAGCAAGCUACAAAGGAUCCAGGGCCUCAGCUGGUAGAGUCUGCUGAGCAGGAGCUCGUUGAAGGCAAGUUGUGCCCUUGAUCACUUCCUUUUUACCCAGUCAUGUUCUUGUUAAUCAUAAUGAUCUGCAUAGGUUAAUUUUGAUGGGAUCCAAUAGGUUACCCUAGAUUUUAACUAUCUUUAUACCUUGUUUCACCACUAGUUUUACUACUAAUUUUUUUGGGUAGUACAUGCUAUUGCUUUAUGUGGAUUUGUGUAUAGAGAUAUUCAUUACUCAUGAUUACACUUUUUAUUAUUUGUUUAUUAUUUACUGUUCAUGAUAAGAUCAUUAUGUUAAUGGGAACAUGGAGAACCACUCAGGAAAACAGUACUACCACAAGGGUUUAAUGGGACGCCCUUGGCUGAUUAACUAGGAAAGCUAGUGGAUGACUACCUUACCCAAAAGGGGCAAGGGCAGUAGGGGAGUGGUCAGUGUAGGGAGGUCUUUGGGUUGAUUUUGCUGCGAUGGCGGCCAGGCGAGGGAUUCCUGCACUGGAGCUUCCUAUAAACUGUAGCGGGUUUUCUGAAGCUAGUGGAACUUUGUAAAGGCAUCGUAGUGGUACCCUGCCUCGCUUCCUUGGUAGAGGUGUAUGGGGUCUCAUCAACUCUGUGGCAAAUGAGUAACACGACUUGUGGGUAAAGAUGCACAACCUCUGCAGAGUGUAAAACUGGUAUACUAGCCGUGCGUGAGCGGCUCGGACACUCACAUGAUUAAUCUAUGGAAUUAAAACUUAAUUUGUCAUUUCAUUGCAUUGGGAUUAUUUUAUUAUUACUUUUAUUUAUUAUUACUAAGGUUUGGUAUUUACUUACACUUAGUAACUGCUAAUAAAAUUUGGACCAACUUAAAAGCAAUGCUCAGCUUCAGUCUUUAUUACAUUGAUUUACCUUACAAUUCACAUGAACUCCCACUUUUGGUGAGUUCAUGCACAUUAUUCCUCAAAACUUGUUGAUCGAUGAACAUGUGUGAGCUCACUCUUGCUGUCUCAUACCCUCCCACAGGAGAAGAACAGGUGGUCGAAGAGGAGCCGCCUAACACUGAGGCUUUCGACUUGAUCUAGGUGACGUCUCGCAGUCAGCUUUGUGGCGUGAGGAAAUAAUAUUUAGUUCGUUUUAUUUUAUCAUUUAUUUUUGUAAGACUUCCGCUAUGUAAUAAGUAUAUUUAUGAUAUUUAUAACAUUUAUCUUUAUGCACUCUGUUAUUAUAUGUGUUGUUUUCUCUGGCUCAUAUAUG